CCGGGAGGGGAGUGAAAUAGAUCCUGAAACCGCAUGCAUACAAACAGUGGGAGCCCGCAAGGGUGACCGCGUACCUUUUGUAUAAUGGGUCAGCGACUUACGUUCGGUAGCAAGCUUAACCGUUUAGGGAAGGCGUAGCGAAAGCGAGUCUGAACAGGGCGAUUCAGUUGCCGGAUGUAGACCCGAAACCAGAUGAUCUACCCAUGGCCAGGCUGAAGGUUGGGUAACACCAGCUGGAGGGCCGAACGAACCACUGUUGCAAAAGUGCGUCGAUGAGCUGUGGGUAGGGGUGAAAGGCCAAACAAAUCUGGAAAUAGCUGGUUCUCCCCGAAAACUAUUGAGGUAGUGCCUCGUGAUACACCGUCGGGGGUAGAGCACUGUUAUGGCUAGGGGGGCAUGGCGCCUUACCAAACCAUGGCAAACUCCGAAUACCGACGAGUGAUUUCACGGGAGACAGUGCACCGGGUGCUAACGUCCGGACACGAGAGGGAAACAACCCAGACCGCCAGCUAAGGUCCCGAAGUGCAGUUAAGUGGUAAACGAAGUGGGAAGGCAUAAACAGCCAGGAGGUUGGCUUAGAAGCAGCCAUCCUUUAAAGAAAGCGUAAUAGCUCACUGGUCGAGUCCUCCCGCGCGGAAGAUGUAACGGGGCUCAAGCUAGUAGCCGAAGAUGCGGAUUCGAGCGCAAGCUCGAGUGGUAGGGGAGCGUUCCGUACGCCUGCGAAGGCGGAUCGUAAGGUCCGCUGGAGGUAUCGGAAGUGCGAAUGCUGACAUGAGUAGCGUUAAAGCGGGUGAAAAGCCCGCUCGCCGUAAGCCCAAGGUUUCCUGCGCCACGUUCAUCGGCGCAGGGUGAGUCGGCCCCUAAGGCGAGGCCGAAAGGCGUAGCUGAUGGAAAACAGGUCAAUAUUCCUGUACCUCGCCAUGAUGCGAUGAGGGGACGGAGAAGGUUAUGCAGGCCGGGUGUUGGAUGUCCCGGUUUAAGCGUGUAGGCGUGCCGCGUAGGCAAAUCCGCGUGGCUUAGCUGAGGCGCGAUGACGACUGCCCUUCGGGGCGGGAAGCUGCAGAUGCCAUGCUUCCAGGAAAAGCCUCUAAGCUUCAGUCACGGUGAGACCGUACCGCAAACCGACACUGGUGGGCGAGAUGAAUAUUCUCAGGCGCUUGAGAGAACUCAGGAGAAGGAACUCGGCAAAUUGACACCGUAACUUCGGAAGAAGGUGUGCCCCUAGUAGGUGAAGGCGUACAGCCGGAGCCCAAUGGGGCCGCAGAGAAUCGGUGGCUGCGACUGUUUAUUAAAAACACAGCACUCUGCCAACACGAAAGUGGAUGUAUAGGGUGUGACGCCUGCCCGGUGCCGGAAGGUUAAGUGAUGGGGUGCAAGCUCCUGAUCGAAGCCCCGGUAAACGGCGGCCGUAACUAUAACGGUCCUAAGGUAGCGAAAUUCCUUGUCGGGUAAGUUCCGACCUGCACGAAUGGCGUAACGCUGGCCACACUGUCUCCUCCCGAGACUCAGCGAAGUUGAAAUGGUUGUGAUGAUGCAAUCUACCCGCGGCUAGACGGAAAGACCCCGUGCACCUUUACUGUAGCUUUGCAUUGGACUGUGAACCGAUCUGUGUAGGAUAGCUGGGAGGCUUUGAAGUGGGGGCGCUAGCUCUCAUGGAGCCGUCGUUGAAAUACCAGCCUGACCUGUUUGCGGUUCUAACCUUGGCUCGUAAUCCGGGUCGGGGACCGUGCAUGGUAGGCAGUUUGACUGGGGCGGUCUCCUCCCAAAGAGUAACGGAGGAGUACGAAGGUACGCUUAGCACGGUCGGAAAUCGUGCUUCAAUGUGCAUAGGCAAAAGCGUGCUUGACUGCGAGACUGACAAGUCGAGCAGGUGCGAAAGCAGGUCUAAGUGAUCCGGUGGUUCUGUAUGGAAGGGCCAUCGCUCAACGGAUAAAAGGUACGCCGGGGAUAACAGGCUGAUCUCCCCCAAGAGUUCAUAUCGACGGGGAGGUUUGGCACCUCGAUGUCGGCUCAUCACAUCCUGGGGCUGUAGCCGGUCCCAAGGGUAUGGCUGUUCGCCAUUUAAAGUGGUACGUGAGCUGGGUUUA
RNAcentral lists this ribosomal RNA (2087 nucleotides) under soil metagenome. RNAcentral's name for it is "bacterial LSU rRNA". It matches the Rfam family "Bacterial large subunit ribosomal RNA", at positions 526 to 2613 of the family's 2925-position model. The record is from RNAcentral.